This is a non-coding RNA of Pelobates cultripes (western spadefoot toad), 246 nucleotides long. The record is from the annotation of a GenBank genome assembly. Lineage: Eukaryota; Metazoa; Chordata; Amphibia; Anura; Pelobatidae.
AUUAAGGUUGGCACGUUGUCCUUGUAAUGGUGAUCCAGCAGGGUGGCCAGUAAUCAGCACAAUUUAGAAUGUGGGCACUCGGCAGUCAUUGCGCAGGCACUUUGGUGACUCUUGAUAACCUUGGGCCGAUCGCACGACCCUUUGAUGGCGACAACGCAUUUGGAUGUCUGCCCUAUCAACUUUCAAUGGUACUUUCUGUGCCUACCAAGGUGACCAUGGGUAACAGGGAAUCAGGGUUCGAUUCCG